UGUACCCAGUGUGUGGGUUUUAUACUGUAUAUGUGCGAAUGUUCUGAAUUUGUGCCUGUCCAUAUUUUGUGUACUUGUAUCUAAUACGUUGUAUAUUGUAUUCUGUCCUCAAGUGGCUAGGUGGUUAAGACGCUGGCUCGCUAGCCUGGAGGUCGGGUGUUCGAUCCCUGCAUUGGCCGAGAAAGUUCAUCUGGAUUUUCCGACGUGGUUUCCCCUUGUCAGUGGUGCAGAACGGAGGGCCUGACAAGGACAGCUGUCUAGUUUUUCAGAUGAUACGAAAAACCGUGUAUACAUUGGAAUGCACGUAAAAGAUCCCUUGGCAGUUGGAAUUCGAUAUAAGAGUAGGCGAUAGUGCCGCUGCCCGGGCAAAAUUUCCCUCAUAGCACACUGUAUGGCGUAUGCCCGUCUUCAUUAGCCCAGUAUAGGAGCAGAACAGUAGGACGUUAAACCCCAUUUCAUUUCAUUUCAUUUCUGUCCUCAAAGGAUGUUUCAAUCCUAUAAAAGGUCAUGGCUGUUGGGAAAAUUUCAAACGACCCACGGUAAUAAUAAGUAGUGCAAUGUGGUGUUAUUUAUGUUAAAGUUUUCCAGCAGUAUAAUUCGUGUCAAUGACUUCAGUGAUACUUACCUACAUAAGCAUAUUAGUAUUUGUUGAAGCUAAGCAACGAGUGUGCUCAAUUUAGUUAAAACCAGUCAGAAAUAGUUUCAAAAUGACCAGUCAAAUUUCAAAAGAGUCUGAUUUUAAGGAGUUUUACAAGAGGGAAGGAGAGGAUAUGAAAUAUAUGGAUGCAGUUGCAGUGCGUGAGAAAAUGACCAAAGAACAAGUAGCUAAUACUUUUGAUAAAUGGGUUGAAACCGGGGCUUAUGACACGGACGUUGCUGCCUUGAACUAUACUGGUCCAGUAGUGACAGCUGAUGCUGCAGUACACUUAUAUCCUAAUAACAGAGAAAAUAUUACAAUGAUAGAUAUAGCAGCUGGUCAUGGACUAUUGGCCAUAGAGUUGAGAAAGCAGGCGUUUAAACACAUUGAUGCGGUCGACCCAAGUCCAGCAUCAAAGAAAAUUGCUAUGGAGAAGAACCUGUAUGGGAGGUAUUUGGUAGAUUUUGUUGAUGAAAGACGAUUAGAUAUAAAAACAGAUGAAUAUGAUUGUGUGAUUAGUUGUGGAGGAUUUGCACCAGGAUUGAUGCCAUGUUGUGCUUUAAAUGAAAUGAUUCGAGUUGCAAAACCAGGUGGAUAUGUGUGUAUAAGUGUUCCUGAAUAUAUAUUUCGUCUAACGAAAGAAUACACUGAUCGUUUGGAGCCUUUAAUGGAUAAAUAUGUUAAAAGUGGCGCUUGGGAAAAAAUAUCCAGAACCGUUGUGGACAAUUAUUUAAAUCAAAAGCCCGGUAUCAUAUUUGUCUUUAGAGUUUUAAAAUCUGAAGUGUGUUGACUUAAGCAUACAUUAUGCAAGAGCUAAAUCUGCCUAUUGCAGGUCUUUCUUUAGGCCUGAAAUGUUAUCUAAAUUAUCAAUUAGACAUUAAUUAACUUACCCAGACCAUAAUCAACUCUCGAUGUCAUCGCUAGCCUGUGAUGUUUAUUGGAUUCGAUUCCGAUUUGCUGUUCGACUUCCAUUCAUGGAAUCGCUAAAAUCUCGGUUCAAUUCCCUUUACAUUAUCUAGUUUGUAAUCAUUAUAGUGAGAACUGCCAGCUCUUUAUCUAAUCUCCCAUAAUGUAUCUUUAAAUAAACUUAUUAGAGCAUACAUUAACAUGAAACGGUUUUGUACAAACUACAUUAGAUAUUCAAAUACAAACAAAAUAUAAUUUUAUUUUA
Long non-coding RNA from Patella vulgata (common limpet), 1808 nucleotides. RefSeq lists it as uncharacterized. The transcript is spliced from 6 exons. The record is from RefSeq and is a predicted model, not a curated record. NCBI's taxonomy places the organism in Eukaryota, Metazoa, Mollusca, Gastropoda, Patellidae.